UACGUAGGGGGCGAGCGUUGUCCGGAUUUACUGGGCGUAAAACGCUUGUAGGUGGCCACGCCAAGUCGGAUGUGAAAUCUCCCGGCUUAACUGGGAGCGGUCAUUCGAUACUGGCGGGCUCGAGGCAGGUAGGGGGAAGCGGAAUUCCCGGUGUAGUGGUGGAAUGCGUAGAUAUCGGGGAGGAACACCAGUGGCGAAGGCGGCUUCCUGGACCUGUUCUGACACUGAGGAGCGAAAGCGUGGGGAGCGAAUCCGG
This 256-nucleotide ribosomal RNA is filed under the name uncultured bacterium. Its description in RNAcentral is "partial 16S ribosomal RNA". It matches the Rfam family "Bacterial small subunit ribosomal RNA", at positions 524 to 777 of the family's 1533-position model. The record is from RNAcentral.